CCCUUAGAUGUUCGGGGCCGCACGCGUGCUACACUGAAGGAAUCAGCACGUCUUUCUCCUUGUCCGAAAGGACUGGGUAACCCGCUGAACCUCCUUCGUGCUAGGGAUUGGGGCUUGUAAUUCUUCCCCAUGAACGAGGAAUUCCCAGUAAGCGCGAGUCAUAAGCUCGCGUUGAUUACGUCCCUGCCCUUUGUACACACCGCCCAUCGCUACUACCGAUUGGAUGGUUUAGUGAGAUCCUCGGAUUGGUCCCGGCGCGGCCUCUGGUCGUGCCGGAGUGCCGAAAAGAAUGUCGAACUUGAUCAUCUAGAGGAAGUAAAAGUCGUAACA
Molecule: ribosomal RNA, 330 nt
Filed under: uncultured eukaryote
Lineage: Eukaryota
Description: partial 18S ribosomal RNA
Rfam family: Eukaryotic small subunit ribosomal RNA
Source: RNAcentral